This 253-nucleotide ribosomal RNA is filed under the name uncultured bacterium. RNAcentral describes it as "partial 16S ribosomal RNA". It matches the Rfam family "Bacterial small subunit ribosomal RNA", at positions 524 to 776 of the family's 1533-position model. The record is from RNAcentral.
UACGUAGGGUGCGAGCGUUGUCCGGAAUUAUUGGGCGUAAAGAGCUCGUAGGCGGUUUGUUGCGUCCGUCGUGAAAGCCCACAGCUUAACUGUGGGUCUGCGGUGGAUACGGGCAGACUAGAGGCAGGUAGGGGAGAACGGAAUUCCCGGUGUAGCGGUGAAAUGCGCAGAUAUCGGGAGGAACACCGGUGGCGAAGGCGGUUCUCUGGGCCUGUACUGACGCUGAGGAGCGAAAGCGUGGGGAGCGAACAGG